AACGAACGCUGGCGGCAGGCUUAACACAUGCAAGUCGAGCGAGACCUUCGGGUCUAGCGGCGGACGGGUGAGUAACGCGUGGGAGCGUGCCCUUCUCUACGGAAUAGCCCCGGGAAACUGGGAGUAAUACCGUAUACGCCCUUUGGGGGAAAGAUUUAUCGGAGAAGGAUCGGCCCGCGUUGGAUUAGGUAGUUGGUGGGGUAAUGGCCCACCAAGCCGACGAUCCAUAGCUGGUUUGAGAGGAUGAUCAGCCACACUGGGACUGAGACACGGCCCAGACUCCUACGGGAGGCAGCAGUGGGGAAUCUUAGACAAUGGGGGCAACCCUGAUCUAGCCAUGCCGCGUGAGUGAUGAAGGCCUUAGGGUUGUAAAGCUCUUUCAGCUGGGAAGA
RNAcentral lists this ribosomal RNA (392 nucleotides) under Paracoccus marcusii. RNAcentral describes it as "bacterial SSU rRNA". It matches the Rfam family "Bacterial small subunit ribosomal RNA", at positions 29 to 448 of the family's 1533-position model. The record is from RNAcentral. Lineage: Bacteria; Pseudomonadati; Pseudomonadota; Alphaproteobacteria; Rhodobacterales; Paracoccaceae.